GACCUUAUGGGAAGAAAGUUGUAUGCUUCGUCUUCCUUUCUUGUCUUCUCUUCAUUUGGUUGUUUAUCUUUCGUUUUUUUUUUGCUUGAUUUUGGAAAACCCUAACUAAAGGGGGCAAGGUUUUAUAGAGAACGCGAGAACUCCAUGGGUGCCACUUAAUCGGAGGGUGGACGUCAUAUGAAGAAAGUUUGAUAUUGGUUGCCCAACUGAUGACCUAGUACGUCUAUCAAUACCAAUGUUACCAACAAGCCUCCAACACAUGUCGUUGAUGACAUCCUUAACAAAUUGAUUUCAC
Molecule: small RNA, 295 nt
Filed under: Vigna angularis var. angularis
Lineage: Eukaryota; Viridiplantae; Streptophyta; Magnoliopsida; Fabales; Fabaceae
Description: Non-protein coding transcript
Source: RNAcentral